GCACAACAGACCACCCCAUGAGAACCAUAGACGACCCAAAGUCAGAUGAGGACCCAUCACCAGUGCAUCUCUGGAUCCCUGGCAUCCAUUUCUGCUUUCUCCUCCAGCAUGUACUCAGGCACAAGUUGGUAACCACGACCCAGGCCUUCUAUCAGCACAUUCUUGUCUUCUACUCUGUGUAACAGGCUCAGGAUGGAUCAGCUACUGAAAAUAGACCAGUAAGAGUCUUGUUUGGGACUGUUCUGCCAGAUUUAUCAAGAAAGAGAUGCUUUUUGAAAGGAGUUUUUCAGUGAAAAGGAUGUGAACAAAAGCCUAUGAGAAGGAAGAGGUCCUGCUGAGAAAAGCAGAGCUCAGGAGAGAAGGAGGUGGAGGCCCUGGACUGCCAUGCCUGAAGCCUUCUGGACUCAGAGUCCUGAGCUAGCAUGUGUUACUCCUGUAAUUUUCUUAAAAAGAAAAAGUAUUCAGAAAUUUCCUUUAGUUCACCAUACAGACCUGUGAGCAGCUGCAAUAAACCACCUUUUGACUGUGAUCUGCCAAAACAGCGUGCUGAGGAAGGGGGACAGAAGCUUGUCAUUGGUGGAGGAACUCAGACAGUGGACCCUCAGAAGAAGAAACAUGCCAGCUGCUGGAGAGGAAAUGAAGGAGACUGUGAUGGAAGUGGGAUCUACAGUUCUGACUCAGACAAGCACUGGAGUGGAUCAGAGCUGACCCAGAGCUGAGUGGUAUGAAACAAGGAUGAAGACAAGACUAAAACAGUUACAGGAAGUCUGACUUUGGGGCUACGUCCACCAGGCUGACGGCUUCUCCCCUGGCUUCCACUUCUGUUUCACUGAUGGAAACCACCCUCAGGACAGCAGAAAGUGGAAGAAGGAUGGGAUUUUGGCAACAGACCUCAAACAUUUUGGUCUAAGGAGUCAUUUACAUUCUUAAAAGAUAAAAAUUAUUGUGUCUAUUGAUAUAAAUAAUUAACACAAAAGUU
Molecule: long non-coding RNA, 979 nt
Organism: Bubalus bubalis (water buffalo)
Lineage: Eukaryota; Metazoa; Chordata; Mammalia; Artiodactyla; Bovidae
Exons: 4
Source: RefSeq, a predicted model, not a curated record